UACGUAGGGUGCAAGCGUUAAUCGGAAUUACUGGGCGUAAAGCGUGCGCAGGCGGCUUUGCAAGACAGAUGUGAAAUCCCCGGGCUUAACCUGGGAACUGCAUUUGUGACUGCAUGGCUAGAGUGCGGCAGAGGGGGAUGGAAUUCCGCGUGUAGCAGUGAAAUGCGUAGAUAUCCGGAGGAACACCAGUGGCGAAGGCGACUUUCUGGCCUGUUCUUGACGCUGAGGCGCGAAAGCUAGGGGAGCAAACGGG
RNAcentral lists this ribosomal RNA (253 nucleotides) under uncultured bacterium. RNAcentral's name for it is "partial 16S ribosomal RNA". It matches the Rfam family "Bacterial small subunit ribosomal RNA", at positions 524 to 776 of the family's 1533-position model. The record is from RNAcentral.